CCUACGGGAGGCAGCAGUGAGGAAUAUUGGUCAAUGGCCGGAAGGCUGAACCAGCCAAGUCGCGUGAGGGAAUAAGGCACAAUGGGUCGUAAACCUCUUUUGUCAGGGAGCAAAGGCGUCCACGAGUGGACGAAAGGGGAGUACCGAAGGAAAAAGCAUGGGCUAACUCGGUGCCAGAGGCCGCGGUAAUACGGAGGAUGCGGGCUUUCUCCGGAUUUGUUGGGUUUAAGGGUGGCGCAGGCGGAGUGUCAGGUCAGCGGUAAAAGUUCGGGGCUCAACCCCGUCGUGCCGUUGAAACUGGCACCCUUGAGUGAGUGAGAAGUAAGCGGAAUGCGUGGUGUAGCGGUGAAAUGCUUAGAUAUCGCGCAGAACGCCGAUUGCGAAGGCAGCGUACCGGCGCUCAACUGACGCUGAGGCACGAAAGCGCGGGUAUCGAACAGGAUUAGAUACCCUAGUAGUC
This 460-nucleotide ribosomal RNA is filed under the name uncultured bacterium. RNAcentral describes it as "partial 16S ribosomal RNA". It matches the Rfam family "Bacterial small subunit ribosomal RNA", at positions 338 to 795 of the family's 1533-position model. The record is from RNAcentral.